This is a long non-coding RNA of Oncorhynchus tshawytscha (Chinook salmon), 679 nucleotides long. NCBI's taxonomy places the organism in Eukaryota, Metazoa, Chordata, Actinopteri, Salmoniformes, Salmonidae. The record is from Ensembl.
CCAAACCUGGACAACACGAUGCCGAUAGUGCGCCGCACAUAUGGGAUUCACAAUCACAGCCAGUUGUGAUACAGCCGGGAAUCGAACCAGGUGUGUCUGUAGUGAUGCCUCUUGCACUGAGAUGCAGUGCCUUAUACUGCUGCGCUACUCGGGAGCAGAAUGUACAUUCAGAAGUAAUGACUGGAACUUAAGUGGUAUUGUGUUUCAUUUCCAGUCACUUCAUGUCUGAUGGAGCCGUGAACAAUAUAUAAUGUAACUCUUACCAAACCCUUUCCAUGAUUUUGAAGAUAGCUUCUUCCUCUGGGCCAUUUUGUGAAUCAUCUAUUUUAAUGUUCUCUACCAAAUCCCCCAUGGCUAAUAUGAAUCUUUACUAAACACUCUCUGAUACUGUCAGGUUGUGCGGUACUGGUGUAGGAGUCAGGUGCAGGAGAGCAGAGAGUUGUGAUCUACUGGUGUAGGAGUCAGGUGCAGGAGAGCAGAGAGUUGUGAUCUACUGGUGUAGGAGUCAGGUGCAGGAGAGCAGAGAGUUGUGAUCUACUGGUGUAGGAGUCCGUUGCAGGAGAGCAGAGAGUUGUGAUCUACUGGUGUAGGAGUCCGGUGCAGGAGAGCAGAGAGUUGUGAUCAGACGCACACCUUAUUUGGCAGAAGCAAACAACAGACGGACGCAACAAUGUCCUAC